GAUCAUGGCUCAGGAUGAACGCUGGCGGCGUGCCUAACACAUGCAAGUCGAACGGAGUCGUUUUGGAAAAUCCUUCGGGAUUGGAAUUCUCGACUUAGUGGCGGACGGGUGAGUAACGCGUGAGCAAUCUGCCUUUUAAGAGGGGGAGUAACAGUCGGAAACGGCUGCUAAUACCGCAUAAAGCAAUGAAUUCGCAUGUUUUCAUUGCCAAAGGAGCAAUUCCGCUUUUAG
This 231-nucleotide ribosomal RNA is filed under the name uncultured bacterium. RNAcentral describes it as "partial 16S ribosomal RNA". It matches the Rfam family "Bacterial small subunit ribosomal RNA", at positions 15 to 224 of the family's 1533-position model. The record is from RNAcentral.